This 427-nucleotide ribosomal RNA is filed under the name uncultured bacterium. Its description in RNAcentral is "partial 16S ribosomal RNA". It matches the Rfam family "Bacterial small subunit ribosomal RNA", at positions 355 to 774 of the family's 1533-position model. The record is from RNAcentral.
UGGGGAAUAUUGCACAAUGGGCGCAAGCCUGAUGCAGCCAUGCCGCGUGUAUGAAGAAGGCCUUCGGGUUGUAAAGUACUUUCAGCGGGGAGGAAGGCGAUAAGGUUAAUAACCUUGUCGAUUGACGUUACCCGCAGAAGAAGCACCGGCUAACUCCGUGCCAGCAGCCGCGGUAAUACGGAGGGUGCAAGCGUUAAUCGGAAUUACUGGGCGUAAAGCGCACGCAGGCGGUCUGUCAAGUCGGAUUUGAAAUCCCCGGGCUCAACCUGGGAACUGCAUUCGAAACUGGCAGGCUAGAGUCUUGUAGAGGGGGGUAGAAUUCCAGGUGUAGCGGUGAAAUGCGUAGAGAUCUGGAGGAAUACCGGUGGCGAAGGCGGCCCCCUGGACAAAGACUGACGCUCAGGUGCGAAAGCGUGGGGAGCAAACA